UUAAGGUAACUUAAUUCAUAGUGUUAAACUUUUAAUUUAAAAAUGGUCGUACAACCCCUUGGC
RNAcentral lists this transfer RNA (63 nucleotides) under Nautilus pompilius. RNAcentral's name for it is "tRNA-Lys". The record is from RNAcentral. Lineage: Eukaryota; Metazoa; Mollusca; Cephalopoda; Nautilida; Nautilidae.